This 524-nucleotide ribosomal RNA is filed under the name uncultured bacterium. Its description in RNAcentral is "partial 16S ribosomal RNA". It matches the Rfam family "Bacterial small subunit ribosomal RNA", at positions 355 to 871 of the family's 1533-position model. The record is from RNAcentral.
UGGGGAAUUUUGGACAAUGGGGGAAACCCUGAUCCAGCCAUCCCGCGUGUGCGAUGAAGGCCUUCGGGUUGUAAAGCACUUUUGGCAGGAAAGAAACGUCGCGGGUUAAUACCCCGCGAAACUGACGGUACCUGCAGAAUAAGCACCGGCUAACUACGUGCCAGCAGCCGCGGUAAUACGUAGGGUGCAAGCGUUAAUCGGAAUUACUGGGGCGUAAAGCGUGCGCAGGCGGUUCGGAAAGAAAGAUGUGAAAUCCCAGAGCUUAACUUUGGAACUGCAUUUUUAACUACCGGGCUAGAGUGUGUCAGAGGGAGGUGGAAUUCCGCGUGUAGCAGUGAAAUGCGUAGAUAUGCGGAGGAACACCGAUGGCGAAGGCAGCCUCCUGGGAUAACACUGACGCUCAUGCACGAAAGCGUGGGGAGCAAACAGGAUUAGAUACCCUGGUAGUCCACGCCCUAAACGAUGUCAACUAGCUGUUGGGGCCUUCGGGCCUUGGUAGCGCAGCUAACGCGUGAAGUUGACCG